GACAGAGGGUGCAAACGUUGUUCGGAAUCACUGGGCGUAAAGCGCGUGUAGGCGGCUACGCAAGUCGGAUGUGAAAUCCCACGGCUCAACCAUGGAAGUGCAUUCGAAACUGCGUAGCUAGAGUUUUGGAGAGGAAGGCGGAAUACUCGGUGUAGAGGUGAAAUUCGUAGAUAUCGAGUGGAACACCGGUGGCGAAGGCGGCCUUCUGGACAAUGACUGACGCUGGAACGCGAAAGCGUGGGGAGCAAACAGG
Molecule: ribosomal RNA, 253 nt
Filed under: uncultured bacterium
Lineage: Bacteria
Description: partial 16S ribosomal RNA
Rfam family: Bacterial small subunit ribosomal RNA
Source: RNAcentral